UAGGGAAUCUUCGGCAAUGGGGGGAACCCUGACCGAGCAACGCCGCGUGAGUGAAGAAGGUUUUCGGAUCGUAAAGCUCUGUUGUUAAGGAAGAACGAGUGUGAGAAUGGAAAGUUCAUACUGUGACGGUACUUAACCAGAAAGGGACGGCUAACUACGUGCCAGCAGCCGCGGUAAUACGUAGGUCCCGAGCGUUGUCCGGAUUUAUUGGGCGUAAAGCGAGCGCAGGCGGUUAGAUAAGUCUGAAGUUAAAGGCAGUGGCUCAACCAUUGUAGGCUUUGGAAACUGUUUAACGUGAGUGCAGAAGAGGAGGGUGGAAUUCCAUGUGUAGCGGUGAGAUGCGUAGUUAUAUGGAGGAACACCGGUGGCGACAGCGGCUCUCUGUUCUGUAACUGACGCUGAGGCUCGAAAGCGUGGGGAGCGAACAGG
RNAcentral lists this ribosomal RNA (429 nucleotides) under Bacteroidota bacterium. Its description in RNAcentral is "Bacteroidetes bacterium partial 16S ribosomal RNA". It matches the Rfam family "Bacterial small subunit ribosomal RNA", at positions 355 to 776 of the family's 1533-position model. Lineage: Bacteria; Pseudomonadati; Bacteroidota. The record is from RNAcentral.